UUAAAUUAACACAUAGAAUUACAAGUUGAUGAGAACAAGAAUCGACCAAUGCUCUGCUACCAAUUCCAUCAUUAGAGAGGAGGCCGCCCCCUGGUGUGGGAGGUCUGCCUCUAUUUCUUUCCCAGGCAGAGUCGUCUCUUUCGCCUUAUUGCAGUUAUUAUGGGCUCGCCUAGCCCUGGCGAAGAACAGGUAGAGUCUUCUAGGGCACAACCUGCAAGUGAUCGUGUAGGAGGGCGUGAGAAACAAGAGAGGUCUUUUAAGCAAGUGAUCGAGCAUGGAUUUAGGGCGCUGAAAGGAGCCAAAUUUCUCAGGAUUUUGCUCGACCCAGCAACGACCUCCUCGAAGGACGAAGAUGGAGGUCAACCUUAUCCUCAAGAUUGAUGAAGAAAAUUUCCAGGAGCUCCUUAAUGAAGGAUCAACCAGGAUGUUGGAAAAAGAAAUAUCCCAUGGGUUUACAAUCAACAGGCCACUAGAUGAUGAAGAUGAAUUCAACACUACUUUGAAGCAACUAAUGGUCCAGACUUUGAAGAUGCAAGGGAAAGGGAAAGAGAAGAUGGGAGAACCCUCCUUUGGUGCAGGUACAAGGGUAGAGCCAAGUGAACGUACUUCAUACACUGACUAGCCAAUAGAGAGAAAGCAUUUUGAUUGUGCACUCCCUCUAGCUGUUACCCCAAUAUGCACUGUGAUAGAUUUGGUGGACGAUGAUGAAGUUAAUUUGGAGAUGGAGUCACUACCUCCUCCGAUACCGCCUUCUACUACUUUGCAUGAGCCAACCGCCACUUUUGAGUUUGAUAAGAAAGUACUAAAAUGGGUUGACAGUCCAUAGGGAUGGAUUGCAAGGGUAGAAUCUACUAGGUGAUGCUUUUUGGAGGGUAGUCAUUUUGAAAUAUUUUGUAUGUAACUCCGUAUUAUUUGAUGAUAUAACUGGUCGAACUACCUUGUGAGAUC
Molecule: long non-coding RNA, 948 nt
Organism: Cryptomeria japonica (Japanese cedar)
Lineage: Eukaryota; Viridiplantae; Streptophyta; Pinopsida; Cupressales; Cupressaceae
Exons: 2
Source: RefSeq, a predicted model, not a curated record